UAGCCCUGCCUAGGAGCAAACAAAGCAAGGCUAGCCCAACCCCGUAACCAAGGCAAAGCUAAAGCCAAUUUGGCUUACAUUAAUCGAAUGCAAAGCUAAAGCCAAUUUGGUUUACAUUAAUUGAAUGUAAAGCUAAAGCCAAUUUGGUUGAAGUCAAUUGAAUGUAAAACUAAAGCCAAUUUGGUUUACAUUAAUUGAAUGCAAAGCUAAAGCCAAUUUGGCUUACAUUAAUUGAAUGUAAAGCUAAAGCCAAUUUGGAUGAAGUCAAUCGAAUGUAAAGCUAAAGCCAAUUUGG
Molecule: long non-coding RNA, 295 nt
Organism: Tympanuchus pallidicinctus (lesser prairie-chicken)
Lineage: Eukaryota; Metazoa; Chordata; Aves; Galliformes; Phasianidae
Exons: 3
Source: RefSeq, a predicted model, not a curated record